AAAUCUCCGUAGGGUGACCUGCGGAGGGAUCAUUACACAAAUAUGAAGGCGGGCUGGAACCUCUCGGGGUUACAGCCUUGCUGAAUUAUUCACCCUUGUCUUUUGCGUACUUCUUGUUUCCUUGGUGGGUUCGCCCACCACUAGGACAAACAUAAACCUUUUGUAAUUGCAAUCAGCGUCAGUAACAAAUUAAUAAUUACAACUUUCAACAACGGAUCUCUUGGUUCUGGCAUCGAUGAAGAACGCAGCGAAAUGCGAUAAGUAGUGUGAAUUGCAGAAUUCAGUGAAUCAUCGAAUCUUUGAACGCACAUUGCGCCCUUUGGUAUUCCAAAGGGCAUGCCUGUUCGAGCGUCAUUUGUACCCUCAAGCUUUGCUUGGUGUUGGGCGUCUUGUCUCUAGCUUUGCUGGAGACUCGCCUUAAAGUAAUUGGCAGCCGGCCUACUGGUUUCGGAGCGCAGCACAAGUCGCACUCUCUAUCAGCAAAGGUCUAGCAUCCAUUAAGCCUUUUUUUCAACUUUUGACCUCGGAUCAGGUAGGGAUACCCGCUGAACUUAAGCAUAUCAAUAAG
RNAcentral lists this ribosomal RNA (568 nucleotides) under Alternaria tenuissima. Its description in RNAcentral is "eukaryotic LSU rRNA". The stretch from base 201 to 354 matches the Rfam family "5.8S ribosomal RNA". Lineage: Eukaryota; Fungi; Ascomycota; Dothideomycetes; Pleosporales; Pleosporaceae. The record is from RNAcentral.